CCUGAGCAGAGUGGGAAGUGGGAGGAGCAGCCGAAUGGUGUAAAAGACUUGAAAUUCUCCAACACACAGAUGUAGAUGGAUACAGUUGUCCAAAACCCCUACUCCUUAUUGCCAUUUCGGGUCCAUAGUUGGAUGAUCUCUCAGGACAUGUGGGCAGAGAAACGUGGAGAAAGAUGUAGAAUGAAGGAAAGGAUCUGAGGCAGUCAGCCUCCAAGAUGGCUCUUAAUGAUCCACACCUCUUGAAGCCUGCUGUCAUAUUGUCAGGAACCCAGUGCAGACACUCAUAAUGAGGAACUGAAGCUCCAGCCAACAACAAUAAGAAACUGGCCUGCAGGUACUAGCUCUCUCCCAGGAGAUUAAAUGUUUAGGUGAAGGAGAAAGACCUGGAGAACCCCUGGACAUGGUAACCCAAGCAAGUUCCUGAGGAGAUGCAGUGAGCUCAGACUCAGAGUCAUCUGCUCGGAGCCCCAGGAAGCCCG
RNAcentral lists this long non-coding RNA (479 nucleotides) under Heterocephalus glaber (naked mole-rat). RNAcentral's name for it is "lncRNA (ENSHGLG00000034036.1)". Lineage: Eukaryota; Metazoa; Chordata; Mammalia; Rodentia; Bathyergidae. The record is from RNAcentral.